UACGUAGGCAGCAAGCGUUGUUCGGAAUUACUGGGCGUAAAGAGUGUGUAGGCGGUGCUCUAAGUUCGGUGUGAAAUCUCCCGGCUUAACUGGGAGGGUGCGCCGGAAACUGGAGUGCUUGAGCGCGGGAGAGGAAAGCGGAAUUCCUGGUGUAGCGGUGAAAUGCGUAGAUAUCAGGAGGAACACCUGUGGUGUAGACGGCUUUCUGGACCGUAGCUGACGCUGAGGUACGAAAGCGUGGGGAGCGAACAGG
This 253-nucleotide ribosomal RNA is filed under the name uncultured bacterium. Its description in RNAcentral is "partial 16S ribosomal RNA". It matches the Rfam family "Bacterial small subunit ribosomal RNA", at positions 524 to 776 of the family's 1533-position model. The record is from RNAcentral.